RNAcentral lists this ribosomal RNA (475 nucleotides) under uncultured bacterium. RNAcentral's name for it is "bacterial SSU rRNA". It matches the Rfam family "Bacterial small subunit ribosomal RNA", at positions 38 to 507 of the family's 1533-position model. The record is from RNAcentral.
GGCGGCAGGCUUAACACAUGCAAGUCGAGCGGUAGCAGAUCUAGCUUGCUAGAUGCUGACGAGCGGCGGACGGGUGAGUAACGCGUAGGAACCUGCCCAGUAGGUGGGGGAUAGCCCGGGGGAAACUCGGAUUAAUACCGCAUACGCUCUACGGAGGAAAGAGGGGCUUCGGCUCUCGCUAUUGGAUGGGCCUGCGUGAGAUUAGCUAGUUGGUGAGGUAAUGGCUCACCAAGGCGACGAUCUCUAGCUGGUCUGAGAGGAUGAUCAGCCACACUGGGACUGAGACACGGCCCAGACUCCUACGGGAGGCAGCAGUGGGGAAUAUUGCACAAUAGGCGCAAGCCUGAUGCAGCCAUGCCGCGUGUGUGAAGAAGGCUUUCGGGUUGUAAAGCACUUUCAGUGGGGAGGAAGGCCUCGUAGUUAAUAGCUGCGAGGAUUGACGUUACCCACAGAAGAAGCACCGGCUAACUCCGUG